UUUUUUUUUUUUUUUUUUUUGUGCUUAGUCAUUGCUGCCUAAACUCUGUUUGCACUUGCAGCUCAACGCAAGCUUCCAGGAGGUGCGUCUGGUCGCUGAGGUUGGUGCUCGAGCUGAGAUUGACUUGAAGCAUCUCAACGAGAAGCUCGAGCGGGCGAAGAAUGUUGCUGUUGUUGUUGAGUGCAAGGUCAAGGAUAGGGAUGCGGAGGUCGCGGCGUUGAAGGAGAUACUGGAGCAGGUGAGGGGAGAUUUCGCUGCUGCUAAGGCUUCUGCUGAAUACUGGGAGCACGCAUGCCAAGAGAAUGGCGCAGCGUGGAAGGCCUACUGCGACAACUUAGAGAAAGCUGUAAUGGGGUCGCCCGAAGGAGAGGAGACGCGAGGUGGUGCCGAUGGAGCUUUGGUGCCAGCUCAGGACGCCUUGAUGGGCCCUAACGACCAGGUCGCCAGUGGCCGUAUGGAGGUUGAUGGUUCCAGCGACCAGUCUAUGCAACAGUGAACUAGUCUCGGUACCAAUCUUCUUGUAUUGGGUAACCUUGUGCAAAGUUUGCUUCUUGCACUCCUUGUUCUUGCAGUAAGUCUUCUUUGGCCUUCCUCAAAAGCAGCCUUCUGAGUUUGUGAGCUCGAGUAAACAAUCAUUUGUUUUGUUUGAAGUUGUAAUGAACAGCAGUAAUUGAUAGUUUAUUAUUUGAUGAGCUUGUAAUUAAGUCGUUCUGAUCAGCUAGUUUCCAGGGAGUCCUGGUAGCUCGUUCAGAAGGCAGGUAGACGAGAUGAAUAGCUGCAAGCAGGACGAACUGAAACAGUUCUUCUUGUAUGCCUUAGUUUAAUUUUGCUUUUACCUGUAAUGGUUAGAAUCUCAUCAAGUAAAAAAAAAUUUCAAUGAUUUACCUUACAUUGGUGUUCAUGUUGCUUUGUCUGCUUGUAUGGGUUCCGCAAACAAUAAGUAACACGCAUAGUGUUGGACCUGCUUGAGGGUGGGGUCGUAUGCCAUUUAGCUAUGCUGUGCUUGGGUCGUGGGAAGGGGAUGACCAAUGCACGAAGUUAAGUUGUUAAUGUUAGAACUUAACAAAAUUUAAAAUUAUCAAAGGGACUAGAUUUUUGAUAAUUUGUAGGUCGAGGGAUUAGACCUUUGGGAGCCAUUCAUGUUUGAGCUGAGAUGAAGGCAAAAAUGAAUUUAUAUAUUGAAAUGUGAUAAAUAGAUGCUUACAUUUCAUUGAUAAAACUUCUUCAAGUGAUAAGCAUUCCAUGGGUUCUUAACGAUCUCCCCUUCUGGUGUUUGAAGAUGAUAAGAACCGUUGCUUUGAACCUUGGUAAUAAUGUAAGGGCCUUCCCAAUUGGCGUUUAGCUUGCCGAUAGUGUCCUUUCUUUUGUUAUGGAACAUUUUUCUUAGAACUAGUUCUCCUGGCUGAAAAGUUCUGUGCCGUACACCUUUGUUAUAAGCUUGCUUUAGUCGUUGUUGAUAUUGCUCGAGUUUUACAACGGCGUGGUUCCGUCGUUCUUCGAGGAGAUCGAUUCCGAACGACCAGACCUGAUUGUCAAGUUCGGUGUCGAUCAGAAGUGACUUGGUCGUUCCAAAUGUUAAUUCGGUUGGAAUAACGGCCUCAACUCCAUAGCAAAGACUGAAUGGUGACAUCCUUGUGGAUGUACGCGGAGUUGUUCUGUAAGCCCAUAAGAUAUUCUCCAACUGCUGUGGCCAUUGAUCGUGUUGAUCUUCAAGCUUUUUCUUCAAGUUAUUCAGAAUCUGUCGAUUUGCAGCUUCGACUUGGCCGUUGGCUUGUGGAUAUCUAGGUGUUGACCUGGAAUGUUCGAUUUUCCAUAAUUCGUAGAAAGCCUUGAUGUUUUUGCCAACGAACUGAGUGCCAUUAUCCGUGACUAUCCGUUUUGGUAGACCAAAUCGUGUGAUGAUAUUUUCCCACAUGAAUUUCUGAACGUCGGCUUGAGUAACGUUGGCUAGUGCAACAGCUUCUACCCAUUUGGUGAAAUAGUCAAUGGCAACUAGAACAAACCUCUUUUCAGAUUUCUUUUCUUUGAUUAAGGGGCCCAUGAUAUCUAGCCCCCACAUGUGAAAUGGCCAUGGUGCAGUGAUGUUGAUGAGAUCAUUGGGAUGCUUAUGUUGAUUAUCAGCGAAACGUUGGCAUUCUUCACACCUCAACAAAAAUUUCUUAGCAUCUUCUUUCAUCCUUGGCCAGAAAUAUCCCUGGGAGAUCGCUUUGUGAGCUAAUGUUCGACCUCCGGAAUGGUUUCCACAUUCCCCUUCAUGAAUUUCUUGAAAGAUCAUUUGUCCAUGUUUGGGGAUGAGGCACCGUAAUAACAAACCAGUUGCAGAUUUUCUGAAAAGCUUACCCUAAUGAAGUUUAUACAUAGUGACUUUAUGUAACAGCUGACUGGCUUCCUUUUUGUUGGAUGGUAGCACACCAGUUUGAAGGUAAGUGAUGAAAGGUUCCAUCCAAGUUCCUUGGAUGUCUGCUGGUGUUGUGGCUAGUAGAUCAGAGAUUUGAUGAACAUUUUCUUCUUUCAAUAGAUAUGCGGGCUGUGUACUGAUUGCUAUAGUGAGAGCCCGCGGUCGAUCUGACUCGAUCUUAGAUGCUAAGAAUGCCAGUGAAUCAGCAUGUCUGUUGUCAUCUCUAGGGAUGUGUUCGAUUGUGAAAUAACUGAGCUUGCUGAUGAGUUCCUUUACUUUACUAGCAUACCUUAUUAAGUUGACACCAUUGAUCUGGUAAUUAUUGGUGAUCUGAUUGACUACCAGUUGAGAAUCACUGUAUGCCUUGAGGCGAACUGCCUGUAGGUCGAUAGCCAUUUGUAUGCCCUGGAUUAGAGCUUCGUAUUCGGCCUCAUUGUUGGAGGUUGAGAAGUCGAGACGAGUUGCUCUCUCUAGCUGUGAACCCUCAGGAGAAAUGAGUACAGCACCUAUGCCACUUCCGUUGGAGUUGUGGGAACCAUCGACAUAUACUUGCCAGGUAUCGGGAGGAUUGUCCAUGACUUUCCUUGUUUCAGGUUCUGGUUCCCAAUUGAUAUCCUCUGCUGGAUAGUCUGCUAAGAAAUCUGCGACGACCUGGCCCUUGACUGCCUGUCGUGAGACGAACUCAAAUGUGUAAUCACCUAGUUCGGCUGCCUAUCGAGCCAUACGACCUGUUUUGUUCUUUUUUUCUAAUAUGUGGCGUAAUGGCUGGUCGGUGAUUACUUUGACAGUGUGGGCUUGGAAAUAAGGUCUAAAUUUGCAUGCAGCGUAAAGUAGAGCUAAUGCUAAUUUCUCUAGAGGUGAGUACCUUAUUUCGGCCUGUUGUAAGACUUUGCUCGUGAAGUAAAUUGGUCUUUCGACCUGAUUUUCCUCUUUGAAAAGUACUGCACUGAUCGCAAAAUCUGAAGAUGCGAGGUAGAUACCGAGUAUAUCUCCAUCAUUAGGCUUAGUGAGAACUGGCGGAGUGGAUAAAUAUGCCUUGAGGUCGGUGAAGGACUUCUCUCAUUCUUCUGUCCAUUCAUAUGUAGCCCCCUUCUUAAGAAUAUGAAGCAUUGGUCGACAUUUAUCUGAUGCUCUAGAAAUGAAUCUAUUGAGAGCUGAUACCAUACCGUUGAGUUUUUGGAUCUGCUUCUUUGUUUUCGGGGUGGGCAUGUCAAUCAGUGCUCUGAUCUGGUCUGGAUUUGCUUCGAUGCCUCGUUUUGUGACUAGGUAGCCGAGAAACUUUCCUGAUGCGACCCCGAACAGACACUUCUCUGGAUUAAGACGCAUCCUGUAUUGUCUUAAUCUUUGGAACGCCUGGUCGAGAUUGUACAAAUGAUCCUGCUCUUGGUUGCUCUUGACUAGCAUAUCGUCAAUGUAGACUUCCAUUGUUCGACCUAGCAAGUCGUCGAACAUCCUGGUGACCAGUCUCUGAUAGGUCGCUUCUGCAUUCCUUAAGCCAAAUGGCAUAACCUUGUAGCAGAAAAUGCCUUGCUCUGUUGUAAAAGAGGUCUUCUCCUGGUCGGGCUCGUACAUUGGGAUCUGGUUGUACCCUAAGUACGCGUCCAUGAAUGACAAUAGCUCGAAACCGCAUGUCUGAUCGACUAACCUAUCGAUUCGUGGCAGUGGGAAUGAAUCUUUAGGACAAGCUUUGUUCAAGCUUGUGAAGUCGAUGCAGACUCUUGUUUUCCCAUUUUUCUUUAAGACUGGCACGAUGUUGGCUAGCCAGUCUGGAGUAUCGACUUCUCUGAUGAAUCCGACCUGUUUGAGUCUAUUGAUUUCUUCAUUGACUGCUUCGUGAAACUUGGGAGCGAGCCUCCUUGGUUUUUGCUUAACAGGUCGAUAAUUCGGAUUGACGCGCAGCUUAUGACAUGCAAUUGAUGGAUCUAUUCCAGGCAUAUCGAUAUACGACUAAGCAAAAACAUCUUUAUUAGUUGAAAGAAAAUUUACAAAGUUACGGAACUUAUCUCCUUCUAACUCUGCACCUACAUAGACAUAUCUCGGGUCAUCUUCUGACCCUAGGUUCACACGUACUCCUGGAUCAGUGCUUCCGAGAUUAAGUUUGGUUGAGCUCGUUUGCUCCUUCUGUAGUUGCUAUUUGGUAGCUUCGGUCUUCUCUUUUGACGGGCUCUUGGACUUGUUGUCGCCCUCUCGAGCCUCUGAUGAGAUCGGGCUCUUCCCUUUGAUGUCAGCAUCCUUGGUUCCAGAGGUGGAUGGCUUUGCAGGCGCCACAGCUUCGAUAAUUCCAUGACAUUCCUGUGCGGCGUUCUGGUUGCCUCGAAGUUCCAUUAUCCCAUGAGGUCCGGGAUAACGGAAAACUUGAUGAUAUGUUGACGGAACACCUCUCAUGGCAUGGAUCCAUUUUCGACCCAGAAUCGCAUUAUACUUACUUGCGAUGUUGAGGAUGCUGAACUUGACAGUGACGACGACCUUAUCUUCCUUACGGCCCACAGUGACGGGCAACAGAAUUUCACCCUUAGGAUCUUCUCUUGAGCUGUUGAAGCCUAGAAUGGGUGUGAAAUCGGGGAUGAGAACUGAAUCGGGCAACCUCAUGUCCUUGAAGGUUCUGUACAUGAGAAUGUUGCAUGAUGCGCCAGGAUCGAUGAGUACCCUCUUGAUGAUGUAGUCGGCUAUUCUCAGCUUGACAACAAGGGCAUCGUUGUGAGGAGUAACGACUUUGUUUAGGUCAUCCUCUGUGAAAGUAAUAUCGGUUUCCUGGCGCAUGGGUAUGUUGAAGCGAGCUGCUUUGCCAGAAAUCGAGUAGACAUGAUGAAAAUGCUCUACUCGUCUCUUCUUGUCUCUUGUCAGAGGGGUGGAGUUGGAUUCACAGAUCAUGUAGACUACAUGACUUUCCGACUCGCUGUCACUAUCAAUCUUGUUUGCGACAUUCUUGUUGAUUUGGUCGCGUAGGUCGCCCGUUGGACCUAGACGUUGGGAGAGGCUACGCCCUCUGCUGCGGACUGGACUUAUGGAUGUCGUUCUAGCCUUGCUGUGAUGUCGCUUUGGUGAACGGGGAGGCGUUCUGGAUUCUUUCCUCGCCCGCUUGUUUGUGGUAUCCUCUUGUCUUCCAAGGAUCCAAUUGUUGAGCCUUUUUUCAUCGGCCCAAGUCUGAAGAGCGCGUUUCAGGACGCGACAGUCAUCAGUUUGAUGACACCGUACCUUGUGAACUUUGCAGUACGGCAGACCAGAUGUAUCCUCCAACUGUGUGAAGGUAGGAAUUUUGCACCAGUGGUUGUGCUUGAUUCUCUCAUAGAUAUAACCGGCUGGUCGUGUAAACCGGUGAUACUCUCGUUGCUCGGUAGGCAACGACUUUGCUUUGAACCUCUUGUUGUCUGAACGAGGUCGUUUGAUGGAGCCAGAUUCCACGUUGCUGAUAACAUGAUUCUUUUCCCUACUAGUUAGGGCUUCUUCGAGCUUGAUAUAACGAUCUACCUUAAGAUAUAGCUCGUCGAGAGAUGAAGGUCUCUUCAUGGCUAAAGAUUUGUGCAGGUCGGACCCCUGGAUCAGACCGUGAGAGAAUGCGAUUGUCGCAAAGGUUUCAUGUUCCUUUGCAAAAUCUUGGAUGGAAUGCAAUUCAGAUUUAAACCGAGCAAAGAAAUUGCUCAAUGACUCACCAUCCCGCUGCUUGACUUUGAAGAUGGAAUCGAUGGUGACGGGGCGCUUUUUGUUGUGGAUGUAGAAGAUGACGAACUGCUUUUCGAGCUCGGCAAACGAGCGGAUGGAUCCUGGCUUUAAACGGUGAAACCAGUCGAGAGCAAGUCCAGUGAGGCUGGACUGGAACAGUAAACAUAGAAGAUGAUCUUCCUUGAUGAGAGGAAGGGAUUUCCGGAAUCCCUUGAUAUGGUCGGUUGGAACUCCGACUCCUGCAUAUUGAUCGAACUUGGGGGCAUUGAGCUUGUUUGGCAAUUCAUGUUCAAGGAUCUCCUUGGAGAAAGGAGACUCCUGAAACUGCUGGAGGGACUGGACAGCAAGUUGCUCCGCGGUGUGGCUUUUGGAAUGGUGUAAGAUAGCCUGAGAGGCUUUGAACUCUGCUAACUGUUAGCUGAGUUGCUCGUACUUCUGGUUGGAGUCAUCAACAAGAAUGACUCCCUGUCCACCAUUUGUUCCUUGUGCUGGGUUGGUAUCUUGUGCAGCCUUCAAGCGUGCGUUCUCUUCCUGAAGACGGUUGAUUUGGUCUUGCAGAUCUUGGAUGGUAAGUUCUUGAGUAGUCAUUUGAAUGAAUGACUUUGAGAAGGGUGGGAGGAUUUGGGUUUUUCCGAUUAUGAUCGAAUUCCUUACAGUCGGCGCCAAAUGUAUUAACCUAUUUCUAGAUUAAUGCACUUAUUAGGUCAGGUCGCUGGGAGACUUGACCAAAGGGGAAGUUUUGGAUCGGGGUGGCUGCACCUCGUCGGGAUUGAGAUUGCCUACGUACUCUAGUUCGUGGGGAUUGAACUUAGAGAUCAAGCCAUCGUAGUUCUGUUCUUAUAGAAGGUAGAAAGGCGUGGAUCAUGGAUCUUGCAGAUUCUCCGUUGUCAUCAUGAGGAUUGAUUAUGUAACGAGCGAGGAUCAUCCCUGCGAAUUAAUUAUGUAACGGUCGAGGAUAUUAUGUGCAUUGAAUAAGAGCACGUGUGUAUUAGCAGGCCGCUGCUGGUUAUGAGAUCGAGUUGUUGUGGUCGAGCUACUAGCAGGUAGGGAUCGUGGCGACCUGAUGGAUGAAUGAUUGUGCCACGUGGCUGCUUUUGAUUGGUUGGAGUAUGUAGUAUCCCUACAAAAAUGUAGUACGUCUACAUAACUAAACAGAUUCUGCCACCUACUGAAGGCUAAACUGUUGAGUUAUGCAACAAAGUAGGGUCGAAUUCCCAACUUAUGCAACCAACUAAAUUAGGUUUAAAAUCAUCAACAAACUUUCAAGUUUUGAAAGAUGUCACAGAAUAAUGUUUGACAGAGUCCACAAACAUAUCUAUAAAUUUAACUAUUUAAGUACCUUAGAAUUGUUUCUACAAACUCAUUUCCUGCAUCACUGGAACAAACACAACAUAUUUCUUUCCUGCUCAUUUUUUUACACUAACAUUCUCUGCAUUUCUUACAAAAAUUAAGACCAAAACAAAUUCAAAUUGUUUACGUUGUUCUAAAAAAGGCCUAAGGGUUUUAAACAAAUUCAAUCAGUGGGUCGAAGCAUCGGAUGCAACGUCUCUAGUUUUGGAUAUCCCAGUUCACCCUGAUAAGCCUUCAAUACAUCAGGAGCUAUGUCCUGGUACUUGGUCACAUACCUCUUCUCAAACAGCUGCUUCGACACAGUUAAUGUCGUCACUAAAUUCAAAUCUUUCUUAAUAAGGCCAUUUGAUAACAGAAAUACCAAAAUUGAACACCUUGGAAUAAUUCUCUUCUCCAAACUAAUCAUCAUCAGCUUCGGACGUUUUGCAACAUCAGAUGGUUGCAACCCAAACUUAUUCAAAUAUAAAUCCAUCAAUUUCCUGAUUUUCUUCUCUGAAGUAACCAUAAGACUAGGUUGCAAUUUGAAAGCUGAGAUGAUAUCUUCCUCAGACCAUCCAAAGCUCUUAUAAACCUCUACUUUAUAUUCCCAACUCGACUUCGUCAUGGUACACCUUACACUAAGAGCAUGGACAAAAGACCUAGUAUAUUUAUCAAACCUCAUUUCCUCAAUCUCUCUAACCAUCUCUUUGAAGUGUUCAUUCUUCCGCCAAAAUACCCUUGGUUGUAGCAUAAUUAAUUUGGAAAUAUUGCAUUGAGGUACACCAUGAUGUUGCAAAGUUGAAAUGUUAAGAGCAAGUUCAAGAGAAAAUCCAGUACAUCUUUUGAGAACAGUGAUGAUAUUGACAUUGGUGUGUAAGAAACUUUGUAACAAAUUGACUGUAGGUACUAUUCGAUUUCUUAAACUUACACAUAAGAUAUUCCCAUUUGAAUCGACUAAACUCGCAAUUUCUGGUUUUGAUAAACCUAAUGAGGAUUCAAAAUACUCAAAUUUGGGUUGAAGGGUUUUAAUAGGAUCAGCUAGAAUCAAUUGUGGGCGUCUAGUGAUAAGAUUUGCAAUCUGGGUUUGAGUAAAACCAUAUGUUUUGAAAAGCUCAAGAACUGAGUCUGGUUUCUCAGUAGAUUCAAUAUCAGUGUGCAUGUUUUUAGAAGCUGAGAUAGCAGAAUCUAAAGACAACCCACAUUUCUCUAUAAGAUAAGAAACUGUGGGUGAGUGAUAAUUUGUUGUUGUUGUUGUUGUUGUUGGGGUUAUUGAUAUGUUGGAGAUUUGGGUAUGGAAACAGUAGACAUGAAUGUUGUUUGAAAAAUUUCGCCUUCUUGUUGUAAUAAUAUUGGCAUUUUGUAUAAAAUUGUUGCAAGAUAAUCCAAACAUGGAGGGAAGUUUACAAAGUUAUUAAUAGAAUUUGAGCUCAAUUUCAAUUUCAAUGGCUUUUACUUCCACAAGAAGAACAACCCUAGCCACUGCUCUCCUUACAAAGUUGAUAAGAUAAGACCACAUCAUCAACCUUAAAAUGCUAUCCGAAAUAUUCAUAAAAUAUCUAACAUUUAG
This 8954-nucleotide long non-coding RNA is filed under the name Aquilegia coerulea. RNAcentral describes it as "long non-coding RNA (ACOE_LNC000983)". Lineage: Eukaryota; Viridiplantae; Streptophyta; Magnoliopsida; Ranunculales; Ranunculaceae. The record is from RNAcentral.